RNAcentral lists this unclassified non-coding RNA (1453 nucleotides) under uncultured Eurotiales. Its description in RNAcentral is "sequence contains 18S rRNA gene, ITS1, 5.8S rRNA gene, ITS2, 28S rRNA gene". The stretch from base 513 to 1453 matches the Rfam family "Eukaryotic large subunit ribosomal RNA", at positions 1 to 961 of the family's 3401-position model. Lineage: Eukaryota; Fungi; Ascomycota; Eurotiomycetes; Eurotiales. The record is from RNAcentral.
GGAAGGAUCAUUACCGAGUGCGGGCCCUCUGGGUCCAACCUCCCACCCGUGUCUAUCGUACCUUGUUGCUUCGGCGGGCCCGCCUGCUGGCCGCCGGGGGGCCUCCGCCCCCGGGCCCGCGCCCGCCGAAGACACCGCCGAACUCUGUCUGAAGAUUGCAGUCUGAGCGAUUUACGAAAUUAGUUAAAACUUUCAACAACGGAUCUCUUGGUUCCGGCAUCGAUGAAGAACGCAGCGAAAUGCGAUAAGUAAUGUGAAUUGCAGAAUUCAGUGAAUCAUCGAGUCUUUGAACGCACAUUGCGCCCCCUGGUAUUCCGGGGGGCAUGCCUGUCCGAGCGUCAUUGCUGCCCUCAAGCACGGCUUGUGUGUUGGGCCACCGUCCCCUCUCCCGGGGGGACGGGCCCGAAAGGCAGCGGCGGCACCGAGUCCGGUCCUCGAGCGUAUGGGGCUUCGUCACCCGCUCCGUAGGCCCGGCCGGUCGCCUGCCGACGACCAAUCUUCCUUCUCCAGGUUGACCUCGGAUCAGGUAGGGAUACCCGCUGAACUUAAGCAUAUCAAUAAGCGGAGGAAAAGAAACCAACCGGGAUUGCCCUAGUAACGGCGAGUGAAGCGGCAAGAGCUCAAAUUUGAAAGCUGGCUCCUUCGGGGUCCGCAUUGUAAUUUGCAGAGGAUGCUUCGGGAGCGGCCCCCAUCUAAGUGCCCUGGAACGGGCCGUCAUAGAGGGUGAGAAUCCCGUCUGGGAUGGGGUGCCCGCGCCCGUGUGAAGCUCCUUCGACGAGUCGAGUUGUUUGGGAAUGCAGCUCUAAAUGGGUGGUAAAUUUCAUCUAAAGCUAAAUAUUGGCCGGAGACCGAUAGCGCACAAGUAGAGUGAUCGAAAGAUGAAAAGCACUUUGAAAAGAGAGUUAAAAAGCACGUGAAAUUGUUGAAAGGGAAGCGCUUGCGACCAGACUCGCCCGCGGGGUUCAGCCGGCAUUCGUGCCGGUGUACUUCCCCGCGGGCGGGCCAGCGUCGGUUUGGGCGGCCGGUCAAAGGCCCUCGGAAUGUAACGCCUCCCGGGGCGUCUUAUAGCCGAGGGUGCCAUGCGGCCAGCCCGGACCGAGGAACGCGCUUCGGCACGGACGCUGGCAUAAUGGUCGUAAGCGACCCGUCUUGAAACACGGACCAAGGAGUCUAACAUCUACGCGAGUGUUCGGGUGUCAAACCCGUGCGCGCAGUGAAAGCGAACGGAGGUGGGAACCCUUUGGGUGCACCAUCGACCGAUCCUGAUGUCUUCGGAUGGAUUUGAGUAAGAGCGUAGCUGUUGGGACCCGAAAGAUGGUGAACUAUGCCUGAAUAGGGCGAAGCCAGAGGAAACUCUGGUGGAGGCUCGCAGCGGUUCUGACGUGCAAAUCGAUCGUCAAAUUUGGGUAUAGGGGCGAAAGACUAAUCGAACCAUCUAGUAGCUGGUUCCUGC